This 325-nucleotide unclassified non-coding RNA is filed under the name Hevea brasiliensis (rubber tree). Lineage: Eukaryota; Viridiplantae; Streptophyta; Magnoliopsida; Malpighiales; Euphorbiaceae. The record is from RNAcentral.
GUUUGCAAGGCUGAAAUCUCCCAAACAGAUUUAGUCCCUCUUUACGGGCGUGGGGAAACACUACCUGAAUCUGAGCCUGAAAACAAGCUCACUCUAAAAGUGCCUCCCAGGCCACCUGCUUUCAGUCCAUCAUCCAUGUCAAACUCCUUUAACCCUUCUCAGCAACCACCACAUCCUAAUGCCUAUGAUCCCCAUGCCAGUUACCUCAACAGUUCAUCGCCUCCUUCAUUCAGUCUCGGAAACAAUACAUCAGUUGGAGUCUUUCAUCCAGUUGUUGGAAUGUUCGGAGAGAUGGUUUACGAGAGGGUAUUUGGUAACUCAGAGA